GAGGGGCAACUCUCCUGACUGAGUGGCGAAAGGGGCAGUAAGGCAUGGGUAACCUACCCUCCGGACCGGCAUAGCUUUCCUAACGGAAAGGUAAUUCCGGGCAAAGUGGCUGGAUCGCAUGGUUUGGCCACCAGAUGAAUUUCGCCCGGGGAGGGGCUCAUGUGGUAUUAGCUAGUUGGUAGGGUAAUGGCCUACCAAGGCGAAGAUGCCUAGCAGGUGUGAGAGCACGACCUGCGCCACUGGCACUGAGACACUGGCCAGACUCCUACGGGAGGCUGCAGUCGAGGAUCUUCGGCAAUGGGCGCAAGCCUGACCGAGCGACGCCGCGUGUGCGACGAAGGCCUUCGGGUUGUAAAGCACUGUCGAGGGGGAGGAAAGCCGAAAGGUUUGACCUAUCCCUGGAGGAAGCACGGGCUAAUUUCGUGCCAGCAACCGCGGUAAGACGAACCGUGCGAACGUUGUUCGGAAUCACUGGGCUUAAAGGGCGCGUAGGCGGUCUGCCAAGUCAGGGGUGAAAUCCUUCGGCUUAACCGGAGAAGUGCCUUUGAUACUGGCGGACUUGAGGGAGGUAGGGGCAGAUGGAACUGGUGGUGGAGCGGUGAAAUGUGUAGAUAUCACUAGGAACCCCCGUGGCCAAAGCGAUCUGCUGGACCUCUACUGACCCUGAGGCCCCAAGCAGGGGAGCAAACGGGAUUAGAUACCCCCGUAGUCCUGGCCCUAAACGAUGGGUACUGGGUAGUGGACUUACAUGGGUUCACUGCCCAAAC
RNAcentral lists this ribosomal RNA (767 nucleotides) under uncultured Planctomycetota bacterium. Its description in RNAcentral is "bacterial SSU rRNA". It matches the Rfam family "Bacterial small subunit ribosomal RNA", at positions 74 to 852 of the family's 1533-position model. Lineage: Bacteria; Pseudomonadati; Planctomycetota. The record is from RNAcentral.